Long non-coding RNA from Hippocampus comes (tiger tail seahorse), 634 nucleotides. RefSeq lists it as uncharacterized. The transcript is spliced from 2 exons. The record is from RefSeq and is a predicted model, not a curated record. NCBI's taxonomy places the organism in Eukaryota, Metazoa, Chordata, Actinopteri, Syngnathiformes, Syngnathidae.
AUCGGUGUGACACUUUUGAAAGUCAAAAGGUGCUCCACCCAUUCCGUACAAAAGGUGACGGCCGUCACCCUCCCAGCCACUUGAGCCCUGAAUACGAGGCAGUAUGGAGCGAGGACAGAUCCAUUCCGCAGCGCCCUCCUAUUUGGCGUGGUCCAUCUUCAACACUUUAUGUUGCUGUUGGCCAAUUGGCAUUGCAGCGAUUGUCUAUUCCUCCAAGGUACAAAAUGCCAACGCUACCGGGAACUCAGUCGCAGCUGCUGAUGCGUCGAAGACAGCCAAGAUCCUCAAUAUCGUGGCGCUGGUGUGCGGAUUAAUUUUACUCUCCAUCUUCAUCGCUCUCCAAGUCAUCACAAUGAAUCAAAAGCAGCACUAAAGGAAGGCACUCGAUGCUGGAGUCCGUGCUCAAAGUCUUUUUAUCUGUGUGAGGGUAUGCAUAUGUUCAGAUUUGUGCAACGUUUUUCAUGUACAUCAAUAAAAACAGUUGAAAAGUCUGAAAUGCAAUUCAAAAGUUGCAUAAAACAUGUAUAAGAAAAUCUAACAUCUCCUUAUCCCUCAACACAAAGAUUACAAUUGGAUUGAAUAUUUACUGAAUGGUUGAUUUUAUACAAUAAUAAACAAUGUCACAUUAAAUCAA